Molecule: long non-coding RNA, 8354 nt
Organism: Anas platyrhynchos (mallard)
Lineage: Eukaryota; Metazoa; Chordata; Aves; Anseriformes; Anatidae
Source: RefSeq, a predicted model, not a curated record
CAUCUUCAAAUUAAGCCAGUUACUUCCACAUUGCUUACAAGAGCAAAGCUGUAGAGGAAAAAGACUUCUUCAAGGCCCGAGUUCACUGCGGGAAAGCUGGUUCACAGCUGAUUACUAUCAGAAUAAAAACAGUGUGGAUAAAUGGGGAGCCUGAGAGCAAAUACACCUUUUGCUCUAAGAUGGUCUGGAUCAGCAGGCUGCAGGAGCAUGCUACCGAGGCUGAAGGACUGACUGGUCUCAGCUUUACCAUGCCUACAACACGAAGGCUGAGCUGCCUCCAGGGUACCUCUUCUUCUGGAGCAUCUUCUGACCCUCUUCUUGGAGGACCUUUAGCAGCAGUCCUCUUUGGUUCCACGGCACGUAGGACUUGAUUGUGAAGAUGGUUUCUUCCAGCUUUAACUGGCAAGCUGUGAUAUAAUCCAGGGCUGUCAAGUAGUGGCUGCCACCAGAAAUCCGGAUAAGUCCACGCCCACAUAAGGCUUUAAUACAACUGCUGGGAUGCGGGGAAUCAUGCUCGAUGACUUUUUGAAAGUCCUGCAGAGCUUGCUGCUGGUUCUGAGUGUGGAGGUAGCAGAAUCCUCGCAAUGCUAGCAGAGUAUUGUAAUAUGUUUUCUGCUCUGCUGCUAAGAGGUGGUCACAGAUUUCCAGGGCAGUUCUGAUGUGUCCGUGCAGGAGAUGGCAGUCUGCCAGUCGAACACUGAGCUCACGUUUGGAUCCUGGGGAGAUGUGCAGGAGGAACUGGACUGUCUGGAUCACGGAAGGGAGAAGUUCAGUACCAUGAUUGCUUCUGAGCUCAGGCCGAGCACGCACAGCCUCCCUGUAUGCUGCAAACUUCACCUCCAGGACAGUUCUAGCCUGUUCUUCUAUCUUCUCAGUAUCAGGUGGUGAGAAAAGCUCUUCAAAGUGUUUCAUUGCCUGGGCAGGGGUAGCUGCAAAGGCUUCUGCUAAAUCCUGGAUCAUUUCCUGCAUCCGUCCACCCAAGAAGAAAUAUGCAGCAGCCCGUUCCAAGAGUAGACCCAAAGCUUUCUCAUCUCUGAUAUUAUUACCUGCUGACAAACCCUUAAGGGCCUUGCUACAAACUGCCACGCACUCCUCAAAUUUGCUUUUCUUAAACAGGUAAUCUGCCUGCAUCCUGCAAAUGCAGAUAUCAUCUGGUGCCACUGCAGACAGGAAGUCAUAGCAGUUGCCCAGCCACUGGUCCAAGGAUCUACAAUCUGGGCUUUCUUUCUGACAUGUUGAAAGAAAAUUAGAGAAGGCCUGGAUGAUCUGUGGCAGGUGUUCUCUUUGCCUGGUACACACAUAGGCCACUGCCUCAGUGCGAUGCAUCACAAAUGCUUCAAGAUAGUCCACAACUCCCUUCCUUAUCUGUGCCCCUGACAGCACCCAUGCCAACGCCCUCAGUAGCAGCAGUUCCAUCGAGUGCUUCGGGUUAGCCUUGAGCAGAGUACUGCAUUUACUCACCACCUCCUCUGAGCAUCCUCGUCUGAGCAGGGUCUCCAAUUUAAAUAGUGAGGAUACCACAUUGUCAGGACUUAUGGUGGAGAGAAAGGCGGCAGCUAUUUCCACUUUGAGGGACACAGCGUCCAAGUUCUUGCUCUGGAUCUUGGGAAUCUGACUCUUGUCUUUGCACCACAUCUCCAAGGUGGCUACCACUUUCUCCCAGAGCUCUUUGUCUAGGGAAUUCACUUUCUGCACGGCCAUGGGGGCACUGCAGCUGAAGGCAGCCAAAUAGAAAGCAGUGGCUUCUGGCAACUCCUGCUGGGCUAGAUGGCGGUCCCCUUCUUCGCACAGCAGCGUGGCAAGCCUCUGAGGUGACAUUUUGAGCAGCUGUAGCUUCACCAAGGAGCAUCACAUCAGCAUUUACACCUAGAGCCUGUGAAACAGAGAAUAGGCAGCAUGAGGGGCUGUUGAGCACAACUUCGUUUUGCUUGGGGCAGUGGAGCUUUCCAAUUGACAGUAGGAAAGUAGGAAAAGAAUUGGAAGUAGGAAGCUUUCCAAUUGACAGAUACAAGCAAGACAAAGUCCUGUGAAAAGCCAGUGUUUUGUCAUUGAGACCUUUACUGGGGAGCAAAGCCAAGAGCAGAAUCAGGCCACAGAAGCUAAUUAACUGUCCACACCUGCACAUUAACCGCUGUUAAUCAGAAAGCACCACACAAAACCUGCCAGUAUGCACAAGCCCCUUGGCUGCCCAGGCUGUGGGACCUACUGGGUUUUGUCUCCCUGGCCAUGAUGCCAGUUUGAUAAAGUUUUAAUCACCAAUAGUUUGUUGGUCCUGGUGGCGGUCAGGGAGGGGGCAGCUUAACGCCCUGCUUUUGCCUUUGAGGGGCUGGAAAGGGAGAAGGGAACUAGCACUGAAUUUGCCCCUUCCCCCUGUAAGCCAGGGGUGAGCGGGGAGGGUGAGGUUUAGGGCAGAGGACGGAGUGGCGGAGCCCCUUGCUCGCCCCAAUGCACCCGCUGGGGUCUCGCCAUCCCGCGGAGGAGCCCGGAGAGAACUACCUGAGGGCACAAACAACUACCUGAGGGCACAAAUACCUGGCAGCGGGCGUCUGACGGAGCUGCUGGCCUCUCGCUUCCCCCGAUGCGAGAUGAAAAAGCCCUGAGCCUACAUUCUGCUUUGCCAGUCGCUGUUUCCUGUCACUCGCAAUGGCCUCUUCCCAGGAGGCACGCCGUGCUUCCCUCACAAGACACAGGCAGGCUGUAAGGAAGGAAUACAUGUAUUUCUGGUGAAGUCAGUGGAGUUACCUCUGUGUAAUUCUGGAAUAAUCAGUUGGAGGCAACCACGGACUGCUCUGUGCGCACACGCUCGGUGUUUCUCAUACACAGAGAACCUUGCUGUGUUGGAGCAUCUAUUCUUCUCUGGAGGAAUAUGAAGAAAGCAGAGAGCAUUCCAAAGUCUGUAUUUAACGCAAAAGAGCAUUGAACAAAAUACCUCAGCAAACCCUGAACCACCUGUGGUUUUGAGAUGACCUGUUCUGCCUUUAACAACGUGGUGAAGAAGAUGUAUGCAUGCAUAAACGCGGACACACAGUGGAAAAAUAAUGAAGUUGAAAGCAAAUAAUGCUUCAACACACGUGAAGAAGAAACGGAUUUGGAUUCUGAAGAAUUAGUAUCAGCAUUACAGCAAACAACGUUCAUGUGUAGACACUGAAACCUCUGAUUUCUCAACUUCUGGAUCCUAGGUCAAGCAUAGCCUGCGAGCACGAGGAAGCACUUGCCUUUGGGGAUGGCGUUCCUUGAGGGGUAAGGACAGCAAUGAAAUUGUCUGCGCAUCACCGGCACCUGCCCACAGCUCAGGAGCCUUCAUCUGAAAAGCUGGUUUCCUGAUUGAAUCAGGUUUGUCAGAAAAGUCUCAAGAAGCAUCUGAAAUCUGCACAGACAGCGGAACGGCCCGUGGCUCUGGUCUGUGGCAGUGUAUCAGCCGUGUCUGAGAGCUGUCACUGCCCCGUGGUGGAUUUGUUGGCCCACUCGAUGCACAGCUCUGCAAGACGAGGUACUGGGGAUGUUCCCGAGGGCAUGGGCUGUGUGUUCUCCAGCCUUGGGCAGCCAACAAGUUGUGAGCACGCAGCUCCUAAUCGGGGCUGGCAGGGCAGGUGGUUUAUCUGUGCCUGAGAGGUCCUGCUCUGCAGAGAGGCAGACGCUCGUUUUGCCUCCUUGUUGUGGGCUUUUCAGUUUCCAGUCCAUUACAGGUGACACAGCCGAUAAGGAGCCUGUCUGUCAGCGCCGUCCCUGGAGGGGCGAAUCUUCAUCCCUUCCUGUACUCAAAGCAGAGCCGCCUGCUCACGCUUUUUCGGAUCAUGCUGGGCACCAGGUGAGGGCUGCUCUGCUGGAAGCCAGGUCACAGCAUCCCAGCCCUGCCAGGCCCUGUCCCACACAGCCUGCACAGCAGCUCCAGAGCAAACCUCCUCCCCAGUGGGGAUGGCAGUGCGUAAAAUGAAUGCACUGACAUUUUCCGAGGGGGUCAGAAGAGGAAAGACUUGCAAAGCUGUUCUGUGAACAGCUCCAACCCCCUGCUCGGGAUCUAGGUUUCGCUGGUAGUGAAUAAGCGUGCUGCUCACUACUCUGAGCCUUACCUUUUUUCCUUUGAGCUGACCUCAAUUCUAACUCAGCUUAUUACAGUUUUGUGUCUGAUGUUUCAAAAAUUACUUUCCUAGGGUUAAUCCCUAACCCACGGCAAUACCAUUAGGGAAGUUAUCUGGCAGACUGACUUGUUACCAUUUAGAGCAAGCGGUCUUCUCAAUUCAUAGAAAUCUGUAUGUAUUAUUCACAGAUUGGAGAAACUGGAGCAACAUUUCUACAGCGCAAUGCUCUAGUUUUGCCUGACAGACCUGUGCUAAUUACUCUGUGUGGUUUUGACAGAGAGCCAAGAAUGGGUUGUAGAAAAAUGUGUAUCACUAAAACUUAGGUCCCCAAAGUCAAAAGUAAAACAAACAGUGAGAGAUCAUUAUCUGAAGCAGACCCUUACUAGCUGUGUACAGAAAAAAAGUCAUUCCCAUGUUUUGUUUUCCUUUUUUUUUUUUUUUUUUUCCUCCUUUAGACCAAGUAGUCCUGUCUGUAUUUGGAAAUAUCUUGAGCUUGUACAGUUAGGGCAGACAGUACAUUUAUUCUGUUUUAUCCCUUUUUUCCUUCUCUUUGAAAGGCUAUAGCUGGCUCUGGGGUGGACUCUUUGUGUGGCCUUCAGUGAGUCACUUAACCUUCCUGUGCAUCAGUUUACUCAUUUGUAAAAGGAGUAUUAUAAUAAUAGGCACCCCUCGGGGGCUCUUCCAGAUUUAAAUAAUUAAUGUUGGUAAAGCAGUUUCUGAGGCCCAGAUUAAAGGUGCUAAAUAAAGGCAAUAUAUAAGUAUUUUUUACUCCAGCUCCUUACAGAAAGACCAAAGCAAUAGCCUGAUAACUCUUGGACUUAAAGCUGGGAAUUAAUGCUACAGUGCUCAGAGUAUAUUUUGAUUUCUGUGGUCCUGAUUCAGCAGCACUCUUAAGCCCAUCCUUAAUUUUGGAAAGGCCUGUUAAUUUCCAGGGGCACGGAUCCCAAUCUGGAAAGCUUUGUUGAACCAGUUCCUGGUGACAGACGAGAAGGAUCAGCUGUGCGCGUAUGUGCAUGCAUGUGUCAGUGUGUUUAUCCUUUCGCAUUUCUGACCUCAGUAAGAACAUCAGUGCAACAAGAAUAUAAUCAGCAAGCCUCAUAAAGGUUGCAAAAUUCAUCCGGGAUGCAAAUCAAUAAAUGUAACAGGAGAGAAACUACAAGCUGUGCAUUUCCACGGAGGCGCAGAUUUUGUGGGAUGGAUAGACGCUGCUGAGCAUGACCUAAUGCCGCAGGAAAAAAAAGCAACCACAGACCUCAGCAUCUAAACAGUAUGAAUAUUGAACCAGAGGUCCUUGAGUAAUUGUCCUUUCUUCACUCUAGGGGUGAAAAGGGUACAUUAGACAUUCACUAGCAGCAAAUGGCACCUGACAUCUCUUUAAGUGAAAGUCAGCUUGGAAUUUUUUUUAAUGGCCAAGCAUAAAUCUUUUAAAUUAUAAAUCAAUAAAUAGUUAAUUCAAUAAUAGGAAUCUUUUAAAUAUUUAAUGAGUCAUAUGCAGAAUGGCUCUAUAACUGGAUGUUGAUGGAACUGUGUCAGAGGAAUUUGAAUCAAACUUUUCUAAACUCCCCAUAUUAAAAUAGUUAUCGAUUCAAACAUAAACUAUGAGGACUGUUGCAAAAGUAAGGGGGGGUGGAGGGGCUUAGCAUACAUUUUCUCAUCCAAGAAAGUGUAGAACUAGCAGCUUAUUUUUAAUGAUGUAUUCUUGAGCUUUUCAGGUUGUAUUAAUGUUCCCAGAACAAAAAUGAGUAAGAACCUAUGCAGACGAGAUUUUGUGUGUGUGCAUAUUCAUUAAAAUCUUGUUUUAGUGGCAGCUGUGCUCUUAAAUAAAAGCUGUGGCAGUCUGCCUCUCAUUAAGGGAUUCUGCUAACCAGCAAUGGCAUCGGUAUCCUGAACUACCUCCAUCUGAAACCGCCCCAAAGUUUAAUUUAUUUACUAGAGUUUCAAGUGGAAGACAGUGGAGGUUGUACCCACAAACGCUAGAGCUGCUCAGCUUGUUCCUGCACAAUUUUCUCUGGGGAGAUCUGUAGGCAGUGUUCACUCUCAUUAACUCCGUGCUGCUCUAAGUCAACAACAGUGUUCCUAAUUACCCUGAACUGGAGGAAUCUCUUCUCAACCCACAGACCACAUUCAGUGCACUGCUAUUUCAUAGCAGAUACGGCAUCUUCAACUGUUCUGGAGUCUGACCUUGACUUCCAAAACUGUAACCUAGCUCUCAUGGUCGCAGUAAGUCCUCUUAUCCAGUAUAACCAGAGCCAGAGUCUUAUCCAGUAUAACCAGAGCCUCCUCAGCUGGCCCAGUUGUUGGUCUGGCAGGCCAAACAUCAGCGUUCCUUCAGCAUUUAUUUCAGCGUUGGUGCUGGGCACUCCUGGCAGCCUUGGUUUGAGUAUCCCUGAGUAGUCGCUGCUGGUAACAAGGGUGGAAAGGAUGGUGCUGAGAGCAGGGUGCGGACGUUGCUUCGGUGGGGGAAACACAGGCAAACAGGCAAGAAAGGUGCAAAGAGGCUGGAGAAGGAUUGGACAAAAAGCUGAGGUUCUUUCAGAGUUGCUCCCUGACUGGUAGGUUUGCUUUGGGUAAGCUUACGUGCAUUCAGUGCCACACAUUUCAGAAACACGUCCUGGCAUUUGAGGAACAAAAAAGGCUUUUAUGCAAGGCUUGUUCACCAUUUUAAAAGCUUCCGGCUUUUAAGCCACUCAGCAAAAAUAAAUGGUGUCUUUACAUUCCUUUAGCAAAGAUAGCAACAAAGGUGUUUGAUGUUGACUCCUGAAACAAAGAAACACGGUAUCAGAAACGCCUUCUCGUCACACCUUAUCGUGCCCAUUUUACAGAUGGCUAAAUAUGUUUGUAUUCCGAGGGGACAAAAUUUGACCAUACAGAAUUCAUCCCGCCGCCUCUGAGGGGCAACCAGCCCUGAUGCGGGCCCUGCUGUUUGCUCUACACAUGCCUCUGUAGUCAGAUGGAGUUGGUUCAGUAUUUGUAGCAGAUCCGAGUUUCAUUUGUAUUCUGUACACCUCUUCUCUCCCCUCUCCGUGCAUGUACAUCCAGAAAAGCUGCCUGCAUAUCCUUGUUUGGUUUUUGUUGUUUUGUUUUGUUGUUGUUGUUUUCCCCCAGGAUGACAGAUACUGUAACAAUGAGAGUAGAUUAAUAUCUCCUUAAUCAGCCAAAUGAACGUGACACACAAGGGUGACAGUUCAAUUUGGUGCUAACAGAUUGUGCCUAUCAGAGCCCUUCCAUUCCAACGGAUGUUUAUUUCUGGCAGAGAUCAUAUGGUUCUGGGAGGACCCCAGCUCCCACCAGCUCAUAGACACCCAUUAAAUACAUCAAGUACCACAUAGGUGUUACUCACCCGCCUGUCAGGACACUAGCUGCUUGGGAAAUGAAAUGAGCCUUGACACACGCAAUGGAGACACACUGUCACUUAGCCGGGCGAAGCGGCAGCAUGUAUUAUUGACUACCCGCUGCUGCAGGUCCCUCUCUUUAUUGCUCGCUAUUUUUUGUUUGCCUGUGGACCGUUCGCUGCUGAAACAUGGAUCAGACACCGAGUCUGUCUCCUGGGGAGAUGCAUAACGAAAUGUAAUGGGGAGGAAAUGCAGACGGGGCAGUGGUUUAGGUAAAAGUGAUACAUUAAAUCUUAGUCCCAGAACUGGCGGUGCUCGGAGUUUGUUUGCAGGUGGGAUUUCAGGAGGAUCUGGUUUCUAAUUCUGAAAUUCAAUCUGCAGGCUCUAAUUCAAAUCUUUCUUUUCCUGCUUCCUGCGGCGUUUCAGAUGAAGUAGCCCCAGAUACUGUACAAAGGAGCUGCAAGUCCUUCCCAAGGGCUGUCCCUGCUCCUGCCCUCGUCUCGGCCACGGCCCCUUCUCUCUUGUGCAGGCUUGUAACACAACACCUAAGCCUAGGAGGGCACCGCCAUCAAGGAAUCGAAGUAAAGCUUGGAAUUUGUCAGGCUGCAUUGUGGUGUGACCGUCGUAUCAGUGCUUGCAGCCCCAGCCCCAGCUGCCUGCCCAGCGCCGUGCUCACCGCCUGGCUGGGGCCGCGGGGUGGCACGCUGCGUGCCGAGGCAUUGCUGCUGCUGUGUGAAUCUGUCCUCAGCACUCACAGGUCUGAUCCUGCAGCCCACUGCUGCCCACGGGAAUGUAAUUGAAUGGGAGAGUUCUCCUUUGCUGGAUGAACCCCAGUUAUUUAUUUUCACAGUGACUCACACCGGCCAUCUGCCUGCUUUUGUUUAGACACUGUUGCAGUGCCCUUCCCAUACACGUGAAAUUGCUAAAUUUUGUGGGGUCCCAC